GCGGAUGUGGCGGAAUUGGCAGACGCGCUAGAUUCAGGUUCUAGUGGCCGCAAGGUCGUGGAGGUUCGACUCCUCUCAUCCGCA
RNAcentral lists this transfer RNA (84 nucleotides) under Planctomycetales bacterium. Its description in RNAcentral is "tRNA-Leu". It matches the Rfam family "tRNA". Rfam says of the family: Transfer RNA (tRNA) molecules are approximately 80 nucleotides in length. Their secondary structure includes four short double-helical elements and three loops (D, anti-codon, and T loops). RNAcentral also lists the same sequence under 2 other names. Lineage: Bacteria; Pseudomonadati; Planctomycetota; Planctomycetia; Planctomycetales. The record is from RNAcentral.